Molecule: non-coding RNA, 127 nt
Organism: Apis mellifera (honey bee)
Lineage: Eukaryota; Metazoa; Arthropoda; Insecta; Hymenoptera; Apidae
Source: RefSeq, marked provisional
AAUUCAGUAAGUAAGGUCAAACAAAUAUUUACUUUGUCAGGUACUGAGUGACUCUGAGUAUACAUUAAAUUACUCAAAGCAGCUUGGUACCUAACUGAGUGGAUAUUGAAUACAACAAUUUUUGAAA